UGUCUUUUGGUUCCUGACUCGGCUUGUAUUUUGACCCUGCUUUCCUCUCUUGUCCUUUUGACUCGGCUUGUCUCUCGCUUACCUGAUCUCUCGUUCCCUCGACCUCGGCUUGUAUCUGACUAUUCUUUUGCUUUCUCCUUACGUUAGUCCGGCCAUUCUAAGGUCCGGUAUACGUACCUAUCCCCUGUUUGUAUUCUGCGUGUUGGAUCCCUGUCACGAUCCUGACAAAU
Molecule: non-coding RNA, 230 nt
Organism: Pelobates cultripes (western spadefoot toad)
Lineage: Eukaryota; Metazoa; Chordata; Amphibia; Anura; Pelobatidae
Source: the annotation of a GenBank genome assembly